Molecule: ribosomal RNA, 447 nt
Filed under: uncultured bacterium
Lineage: Bacteria
Description: bacterial SSU rRNA
Rfam family: Bacterial small subunit ribosomal RNA
Source: RNAcentral
UGACCAGACUCCUACGGGAGGCAGCAGUGGGGGAUAUUGCACAAUGGGGGAAACCCUGAUGCAGCGACGCCGCGUGGGUGAAGAAGCGCCUCGGCGCGUAAAGCCCUGUCAGCAGGGAAGAAAAUGACGGUACCUGAAGAAGAAGCCCCGGCUAACUACGUGCCAGCAGCCGCGGUAAUACGUAGGGGGCAAGCGUUAUCCGGAUUUACUGGGUGUAAAGGGGGCGCAGACGGCGAUGCAAGCCAGGAGUGAAAGCCCGGGGCCCAACCCCGGGACUGCUCUUGGAACUGCGUGGCUAGAGUGCAGGAGGGGCAGGCGGAAUUCCUGGUGUAGCGGUGAAAUGCGUAGAUAUUAGGAGGAACACCAGUGGCGAAGGCGGCUUACUGGACUGUAACUGACGUUGAGGCUCGAAAGCGUGGGGAGCAAACAGGAUUAGAUACCCCAGUA